RNAcentral lists this ribosomal RNA (253 nucleotides) under uncultured bacterium. Its description in RNAcentral is "partial 16S ribosomal RNA". It matches the Rfam family "Bacterial small subunit ribosomal RNA", at positions 524 to 776 of the family's 1533-position model. The record is from RNAcentral.
UACAGAGGGAGCUAGCGUUGUUCGGAAUUACUGGGCGUAAAGCGUGCGCAGGCGGCCAUUUAAGUCAGAUGUGAAAGCCCGGGGCUUAACCUCGGAACUGCAUUUGAAACUGAGUGGCUAGAGUAUGGUAGGGGAUAGGGGAAUUCCUAGUGUAGCGGUGAAAUGCGUAGAGAUUAGGAGGAACACCAGUGGCGAAGGCGGCUAUCUGGGCCAUUACUGACGCUGAGGCGCGAAAGCGUGGGGAGCAAACAGG